CAGCUUAUCAUGGCGUCACCCCUGACGUCAGCCACCUGCACACCUUUGGCUGCCUGGCCUACGUCCGCAUCCCAGCCAGCCAGCAGGAUAAGCUCGGUCCCCGCGCGAAGGCGGGAACCUACCUUGGACCGGAGCGCAACACGGCCGCCCACUGUGUCCUUGUUGACGGCAAGGUGAGUGUUAGCAGUGACGUCACCUUCGAUGAUGACCACCGCGGCCCGGCAUCUCAACGGGCGGGCACCCCCUUCGGCACCAGCCCCGCCCGUCCUGGCGGC
Molecule: long non-coding RNA, 275 nt
Filed under: Volvox carteri
Lineage: Eukaryota; Viridiplantae; Chlorophyta; Chlorophyceae; Chlamydomonadales; Volvocaceae
Description: long non-coding RNA (VCAR_LNC000966)
Source: RNAcentral